AGAACGAACGCUGGCGGCAUGCCUAACACAUGCAAGUCGAACGCCUGUAGCAAUACAGGAGUGGCGCACGGGUGAGUAACGCGUGGGAACCUGCCCUGGAGUGGGGGAUAACCGAGGGAAACCUCGGCUAAUACCGCAUACGACCUGAGGGUGAAAGAUUUAUCGCUCUAGGAGGGGCCCGCGUCGGAUUAGCUAGUUGGUGAGGUAACGGCUCACCAAGGCGAUGAUCCGUAGCUGGUCUGAGAGGAUGAUCAGCCACACUGGGACUGAGACACGGCCCAGACUCCUACGGGAGGCAGCAGUGGGGAAUAUUGGACAAUGGGCGCAAGCCUGAUCCAGCCAUGCCGCGUGAGUGAUGACGGCCUUAGGGUUGUAAAGCUCUUUCGCUCGGGACGAUAAUGACGGUACCGAGAUAAGAAGCCCCGGCUAACUUCGUGCCAGCAGCCGC
RNAcentral lists this ribosomal RNA (448 nucleotides) under uncultured bacterium. RNAcentral's name for it is "SSU rRNA". It matches the Rfam family "Bacterial small subunit ribosomal RNA", at positions 26 to 518 of the family's 1533-position model. The record is from RNAcentral.